UUCAAUGGGUGGGCGAUGGUGGGGAGGCUUCGGCCUGCCGGUGCCGACGUUCCGGUCUUCCAACCCUGCUAUCUGCCCGCCCACCCCA
This 88-nucleotide non-coding RNA is filed under the name Burkholderia cenocepacia. The record is from RNAcentral. Lineage: Bacteria; Pseudomonadati; Pseudomonadota; Betaproteobacteria; Burkholderiales; Burkholderiaceae.